UAUAAAUAAUCCUAUCAAUUUUUAUAAUUAUAAAAAUAAUUUUUUCAAAAAAAAUAAUUAUAAAAAUAGACCUCUGAAUGCGGUGAAUGAUUCACCGCAUUUAUAACUCCUCAUUAGGAGUAGAAAAAGAAUAAAAACUUCACCGCUUUUACCACUUUUAUCAUUGUACAAAUAUAUAAAAAAAAAAAAGGUGAGGAAAAAAAAACGGUGAAUAAUUCACCACUUCUAAAGGCGGUAAAUCAUUCACCAUUUUUAUAGGGUCAUAUUUAUAAAUAAAAAUUUAACAGACCUAUUUUUAGAAUAAAAUUUUAGGAGA
This 316-nucleotide long non-coding RNA is filed under the name Ananas comosus (pineapple). RNAcentral's name for it is "long non-coding RNA (ACOM_LNC041481)". Lineage: Eukaryota; Viridiplantae; Streptophyta; Magnoliopsida; Poales; Bromeliaceae. The record is from RNAcentral.